GGAGUUUGGACCGUGUCUCAGUUCCAAUGUGGCCGAUUACCCUCUCAGGUCGGCUACUGAUCGUUGCCUUGGUGGGCCUUUACCUCACCAACUAGCUGAUAGGACGCAGGCCGUUCCUCGAGCGGAGCAAAAGCUCCUUUCCAGUAUGGCUUCCAAGACCACACUUCACAUCCGGUAUUACCCGGUAUUUCUACCGGCUAUCCCCGUCUCAAGGGUACGUCACCCACGUGUUACUCACCAGUCCGCCACUCUCACAUCCAGCAAGCUGGAUGGUCCCGUUCGACUUGCAUGCUUAAGACGCGCCGCCAGCGUUCGUU
RNAcentral lists this ribosomal RNA (317 nucleotides) under uncultured Treponema sp. RNAcentral's name for it is "partial 16S ribosomal RNA". Lineage: Bacteria; Pseudomonadati; Spirochaetota; Spirochaetia; Treponematales; Treponemataceae. The record is from RNAcentral.